Molecule: long non-coding RNA, 485 nt
Organism: Oreochromis aureus
Lineage: Eukaryota; Metazoa; Chordata; Actinopteri; Cichliformes; Cichlidae
Source: Ensembl
ACUAACAUAGCCCUGAGGAAGAUAACGGGAAGAGAGCAGUCUGGAGAUGAACCCACAGUGAGACUGAGAGCACACAAGUGAAACCACAAGUGACUGCAGUUUGCAGCAAAGACUUCAACAAUGAAAUAAAAUGAGACUAGUUCAAAUAAGAAUCCAGCACAUUUCAGGAUGAUGAAAUGGCAUUUAGAUGUACUGAUGUAAUGGUACUUAAGAUGUUUCAUUUCAUACACACCUUAAUGAGCUGCCCGUCUCCUGUCCCAAUGAAGAAAACCAUCCAGCCUCUCUGCCUCACUGCCAGCACAGAGGUCAUGUAGCUGUGCCUGAAGAGGACUGCCUUUGGUUUCAGGACCUUUGGCCGAGAAACAAACACACUGAUCAUCAGAUCUGAUACUUUAGAUAUCUUUAGAUUAGAACUCAAGAUGGUUAAAAUAGAAAUAAGCUGUCAUCACUCCAAACCUAAUGAAGUGCUUUAAAUUUAUGAACCC